UGGAACUCAGGGCCCGUUCACAG
RNAcentral lists this non-coding RNA (23 nucleotides) under Mus musculus (house mouse). The record is from RNAcentral. Lineage: Eukaryota; Metazoa; Chordata; Mammalia; Rodentia; Muridae.